This 793-nucleotide ribosomal RNA is filed under the name uncultured Actinomycetales bacterium. RNAcentral describes it as "bacterial SSU rRNA". It matches the Rfam family "Bacterial small subunit ribosomal RNA", at positions 400 to 1209 of the family's 1533-position model. Lineage: Bacteria; Bacillati; Actinomycetota; Actinomycetes; Actinomycetales. The record is from RNAcentral.
CGAGCGGGAUGAAGGCCUUCGGGUUGUAAACCGCUUUCAGUAGGGAAGAAGCGAAAGUGACGGUACCUACAAAAGAAGCACCGGCUAACUAUGUGCCAGCAGCCGCGGUAAUACAUAGGGUGCAAGCGUUGUCCGGAAUUAUUGGGCGUAAAGAGCUCGUAGGUCGUUUGUUACGUCGGAUGUGAAAACCUGAGGCUCAACCUCAGGCCUGCAUUCGAUACGGGCAAACUAGAGUUUGGUAGGGGAGACUGGAAUUCCUGGUGUAGCGGUGGAAUGCGCAGAUAUCAGGAGGAACACCAAUGGCGAAGGCAGGUCUCUGGGCCAAUACUGACACUGAGGAGCGAAAGUCUGGGGAGCGAACAGGAUUAGAUACCCUGGUAGUCCAGACCGUAAACGGUGGGCACUAGUUGUGGGAACCUUCCACGGUUUCUGCGACGCAGCUAACGCAUUAAGUGCCCCGCCUGGGGAGUACGAUCGCAAGAUUAAAACUCAAAGGAAUUGACGGGGCCCCGCACAAGCAGCGGAGCAUGCGGCUUAAUUCGACGCAACGCGAAGAACCUUACCAAGGCUUGACAUAUAGGGAAAAGUGGCAGAGAUGUCAUGUCCGCAAGGGCUCUAUACAGGUGGUGCAUGGUUGUCGUCAGCUCGUGUCGUGAGAUGUUGGGUUAAGUCCCGCAACGAGCGCAACCCUCGUUCUGUGUUGCCAGCAUUUAGUUGGGGACUCACAGGAGACUGCCGGGGUUAACUCGGAGGAAGGUGGGGAUGACGUCAAAUCAUCAUGCCCCUUAUGUCU